UGGCGGACGGGUGAGUAAUGUCUGGGAAACUGCCUGAUGGAGGGGGAUAACUACUGGAAAUGGUAGCUAAUACCGCAUAACGUCGCAAGACCAAAGAGGGGGACCUUCGGGCCUCUUGCCAUCGGAUGUGCCCAGAUGGGAUUAGCUUGUUGGUGGGGUAACGGCUCACCAAGGCGACGAUCCCUAGCUGGUCUGAGAGGAUGACCAACCACACUGGGACUGAGACACGGUCCAGACUCCUACGGGAGGCAGCAG
This 255-nucleotide ribosomal RNA is filed under the name uncultured bacterium. RNAcentral's name for it is "partial 16S ribosomal RNA". It matches the Rfam family "Bacterial small subunit ribosomal RNA", at positions 96 to 354 of the family's 1533-position model. The record is from RNAcentral.